CCCUUAGAUGUCCUGGGCUGCACGCGCGCUGCACUGAUGUGUCCAGUAAGCACCUAACCUCUUCCGAAAGGAACGGGUAACCUUUGCAAAGCACAUCGUGAUGGGGAUAGAUUAUUGCAAUUAUUAGUCUUGAACGAGGAAUUCCUAGUAAGCACAAGUCAUCAGCUUGUGUUGAUUACGUCCCUGCCCUUUGUGCACACCGCCCGUCGCUCCUACCGAUUGAAUGUUCCGGUGAGCUCUUCGGACUGCGCGGUCUGCAGUUUCUGCGUUCCGUGCGGAAAGUUGCGCAAACCUUAACAUUUAGAGGAAGGAGAAGUCGUAACA
RNAcentral lists this ribosomal RNA (324 nucleotides) under uncultured eukaryote. Its description in RNAcentral is "partial 18S ribosomal RNA". It matches the Rfam family "Eukaryotic small subunit ribosomal RNA", at positions 1470 to 1796 of the family's 1831-position model. The record is from RNAcentral.